This is a non-coding RNA of Oryza glaberrima (African rice), 1313 nucleotides long. NCBI's taxonomy places the organism in Eukaryota, Viridiplantae, Streptophyta, Magnoliopsida, Poales, Poaceae. The record is from Rfam.
UUUAAUUAUGCACGAAGAUGACUUUUAACUUUAUUUUUGCAUCAUCACACUCUACAUAACACCAUUAUAUGAUGAUUAAUUAUAUGAUAAUAAGUUUAAUGAACAAUAUAAACAAAGUUCAACAAUACUACAACAUCGAUUAGUUGAGGAGACCAAAGUUCAGGAAAAUCCACAUGCCACGUCAUAGGAUUAACAACAUUUUCCCUGGUCACUUCCCAUUUUUUGUGGGCUGCAAGUCUACCAUGCUUCCUUCCUUCACGAGCUUUCAAUGUGUUGGGCUGGCUGAGCCGCUGGGGAACUUUCGGAAUUUUGACAGAAAUUACCGUACAAAUACGGUUACCGACAAAACGGACGGAAAAACCUCCAUCCCAUGUCCACUACCAUUUCCGAAAGAUAUUACCGUUUCCAUUUCCACCAACGUCGGCUACAUAUACCGACUGAAACGGUCGGUACAAACUGAAAACGGCAGCCGGAAAUCUCAUAAAUUUACGUACCGUUUUCACCCCUAGUAUUUUUUUGAUAUUUUUCUUUUUCAUUUGCCACCUGAGGUUUUGCCAUCCCAUGUCCUAACCGUCGGAUCAAGAGUUGAUGUACGAAACAUUGCUGACAGAUGAUUGAUGACUAAGUUUUGCUAACAUAUAAUUAGUUUCUGCUCUUAAUAUCGCUGACAUAUAUUUUGACUAAAAAUAUAUCUAAAAUUGCCAACAUAUAGCAUGUAUUGUUACCUAGUAUUGCCGACAUAUAGUUUGCCAAUAACUUUUACUAACAGAGAGUCUAUCAGUAAUUGUUUAUUUUUAUUGAAAGAUGUCUAUUGGUAAUGUUGUGUCAUGGUGUAGUGUGGUUCGAUGCGGCAUCAGCACGAGCACUUCUGGAUAUUGUCGCCGCACUCAUGUGGGAUUGCCAGUGAGAUACUGGAGGAAGGUGGGGAUGACGUCAAGUCCGCAUGGCACUUAUGGGCUGGGCCACACACGUGCGACAUAUGGCAAUGACAAUGGGAAGCAAGGCUGUAAGGCAGAGCAAAUCCGGAAAGAUUGCCUCAGUUCGAAUUAUUCUAUGCAACUCGGGAACAUGAAGUUGAAAUUGCUAGUAAUCGCGGAUCAACAUGCCGUGGUGAAUAUGUACCGGGGCCUUGUACACACCGCCCAUCACACCCUGGGAAUUGGUUUCACCCGAAGCAUCGAACCAACAGUCACCCAUGACUUCUAUGUACCACUAACGGAGGAGUACCCUCCCUAGGAAUUUGUCUUAGGAAUAAUUACUAACGUGGAGGAAUAUCCGUAUUGAGCUGUCACCAUCAGUGGCCCACCUCUACU